CACCACCACCCACAGAAUCAAGAAAGAGCUAUCAAUCUGUCAAUCCUUUCCGUGUCCGGGCAGGGUGAGGUUUCCCGUGUUGAUUAAGUCCCUGACCUCA
Thalassophryne amazonica is the source of this 100-nucleotide long non-coding RNA. RefSeq lists it as uncharacterized. The transcript is spliced from 4 exons. NCBI's taxonomy places the organism in Eukaryota, Metazoa, Chordata, Actinopteri, Batrachoidiformes, Batrachoididae. The record is from RefSeq and is a predicted model, not a curated record.